CGCGUAGGCGGGUUGGCAAGUCCGGGGUGAAAUCUUUCAGCUUAACUGGAAAAGUGCCCCUGAUACUGCCAGUCUCGAGGGAGGUAGGGGCAUGUGGAACUUCCGGUGGAGCGGUGAAAUGCGUAGAUAUCGGAAGGAACGCCGGUGGCGAAAGCGACGUGCUGGACCUCUUCUGACGCUGAGGCGCGAAAGCUAGGGGAAGGCAAACG
This 209-nucleotide ribosomal RNA is filed under the name uncultured bacterium. Its description in RNAcentral is "partial 16S ribosomal RNA". It matches the Rfam family "Bacterial small subunit ribosomal RNA", at positions 568 to 774 of the family's 1533-position model. The record is from RNAcentral.